AGAACGAACGCUGGCGGCAUGCCUAAUACAUGCAAGUCGAACGAACUCUUCGGAGUUAGUGGCGCACGGGUGCGUAACGCGUGGGAAUCUGCCCUUGGGUUCGGAAUAACAGUUGGAAACGACUGCUAAUACCGGAUGAUGACGAAAGUCCAAAGAUUUAUCGCCCAGGGAUGAGCCCGCGUAGGAUUAGCUCGUUGGUGAGGUAAAGGCUCACCAAGGCGACGAUCCUUAGCUGGUCUGAGAGGAUGAUCAGCCACACUGGGACUGAGACACGGCCCAGACUCCGUACGGGAGGCAGCAGUAGGGAAUAUUGGACAAUGGGACGAAAGCCGUGAUCCAGCAAUGCCGCUGAGUGAGUGAAGGCGUUAGGUUAGUAAGCUUACUUUACCCGAGUAUGAA
Molecule: ribosomal RNA, 399 nt
Filed under: uncultured soil bacterium
Lineage: Bacteria
Description: bacterial SSU rRNA
Rfam family: Bacterial small subunit ribosomal RNA
Source: RNAcentral